GCACCAUGGCUGACCUGAUGAGAAGGCUCUGGAGAAGAGAAGGCUCUGGGCAGACCUCAUUAUAGCCUUCCAAGACUCGAAGGGAGCAUAUAAACAGGAGGAGGUAGGAAAACAUGGAGAAAUGCUAGUAAAGGCCUCCACAGACUUAGUAUAAAUAAGGAACAACUCCGUAGAGAAGUCUGUGAAUUUACCCUCACAGAAAGAGUACCAGAACAUUGUAAGAAACCUGCGCUGAAGUCUUGUUGUAUUAUCUCUCCAUACUGCUGUGAUUGAGAUGGGUUUUUUGAUGAGGAGGUAGCUCCAGGGAUUCGUUGAAGAUGUCUUCUACUUUCCACAGCUGGGCACUGGGAAGGAGCCAGCUGUGUGGCUAACCAGUUCUCCACGGAGUGACAGAACCCAACCACAGCUUGGGCACUUCAGGUGGAGAUGCCCACUGCUUCCCUGAAAGG
RNAcentral lists this long non-coding RNA (449 nucleotides) under Numida meleagris (helmeted guineafowl). RNAcentral's name for it is "lncRNA (ENSNMEG00000019229.1)". Lineage: Eukaryota; Metazoa; Chordata; Aves; Galliformes; Numididae. The record is from RNAcentral.